GACUUUGUAGUUCAGUGGGCUAGAACACCAUCGCAACUUGCUUUACAGCAUUGUUAUCUCGGGAGUUUGCUACAAUUUGCUUCGGCGUUUGGAGUUUCUUGGGUGCGUAGAUGGAAACGGAGGUUCGAUGCCUUCCGAAGUCA
Non-coding RNA from Acephala macrosclerotiorum, 143 nucleotides. The record is from the annotation of a GenBank genome assembly. NCBI's taxonomy places the organism in Eukaryota, Fungi, Ascomycota, Leotiomycetes, Helotiales, Mollisiaceae.